This is a long non-coding RNA of Cydia pomonella (codling moth), 3652 nucleotides long. RefSeq lists it as uncharacterized. Lineage: Eukaryota; Metazoa; Arthropoda; Insecta; Lepidoptera; Tortricidae. The record is from RefSeq and is a predicted model, not a curated record. The transcript is spliced from 2 exons.
ACCCUGACAAUCAGUAUCAAUAAAACUCAGAAAUUGUUGAUUUUGAUCUAUAUCAUUCUUUGAUAUACCUAUAUCCAGGAGAACUGGUGGAACUAGUAUAAGAGACUCAUAUUCAUGCUGAAAAAUGGGAAGUGAUGAAGAGCUAACAGUGGGAGCUGAAAUAGAUUUAAGUUUUUGAAAACUUUUGAUUAAGCAAGGAGGGCUCUUGUGUUUCCAAUAGUUGGAUGUACUUAUUUGAAGUAGAAGGUUAGACAAGAUAAUCCAGAGUUGGUGAUUAGAGAAUUGGGAGCAACGGAAAAUAAAUCUAUCACAAAGAUAUUGGCGUCGUAAAUGGAGCGGAGGCUCACAACACUCAACUUGCAUAGCAUUGAUAGGGCUUGAUUUCAUGGCACCACAAAUUAUUCUCAAGGCUUUAGAUUGAAUAUGAUCUAGUUUUUGGAAGCCAACGACAUAUCCAGGCUCUAACAAAAAUGUCCCAUAAUCUAAAAUGCUUCUUAUUAAGGCAUUGUACAUUAGUUUCAUACAAAAAGGAUGGGAACCCCACCAAACUCCAGAAACACACCUAAGGAUAUUAAUAUUUUUUUCACAUUUAGAAACUAUGUACUCACAAUGUGGGAGACCUGUUAAUUUACUAUCUAAAAUUACACCAAGGAAUUUAGUUUUAUCUUUUACUGAAAUGGAGUAGUUAUCAAAUUGCACUUUGAUUGGAGGAGGAAAUAGUUUUCUAGUAAAUAAAACUACAACACUUUUAGGAACAGAAAGUUCUAAACCAUUAGAAUCUAACCAUGACCUCAAGAAACAUAAGGAACAAGUGACUGAUCUACUAGCCUGUUCAGGAGAAAGAUUUGAUGAAUAAAGUAAUAAAUCAUCGGCAUACUGUAAGACCCUAACAGUACCAUUUAGAGAUGACUCUAAAUCAGAUGUAUAGAUAUUGUAUAAUAAUGGACUUAAUACAGACCCUUGUGGUAGUCCUCUCCACACUAAACGAGAAAUUCUAUUGUUGUCAUUUAUAAGACUGAUGGACCGUUCAGAUAAAAGGUUUAUUACAAAAUGACUUAACAUUUGUGGAAUGCCUAACUUGAAAAGCUUUUCCUGUAACACUGAAACUAAUACAUUAUCAUAAGCAGCACUUAUAUCCAGAAAAGCAGCUACUACUGACUCAUUUUUAGAAAAUGCCAGUCGUAUAUCUGCAAUUAAUAUUGACAAACUAUCAUAAGUAGAUCUACCUUUUCGGAAUCCAAACUGACUAUGAGAUAAUAAAUGGUUCUUUUCAACAAAAAAUUCUAGCCUGUUUUUAAUUAAGUGUUCAGCUACUUUUGCAAAUACUGAGGAAAGGGCAAUAGGGCGAUAGGAAGAAACAUCUGAUGCUGGUUUAUUGGGUUUUAAAAUAGGAAUAACUAUCUGGGAUCUCCAUGAAUCUGGGACUAUACCGGACUGGAUAACCGAAUUUAUUAUGCUCAGAUAAUAAGAAAUACAUCAUCAGCUGCUUCUGUGAUCACCCGGGCCAAAGCAACCGAGCAACCAACUACGUCAGUAUCAUCUAAACUAGGCAAAAACAAUAAUUUCUUCUCUACACAGCAUUUAAAGUUUUUCCAGUCAGCAUUACAUAGAUUGUAUUUAAGCCUAGGGCUAGGUUUCGGAGAUGGUCGUGUAGAUGAAGGAAAUGAGACUAUAAUUGGAAAAUGAUCACUACCAAAUGUAGAAUCUAGAGUUUGCCAGGUGAAAGAAGAUGCCAGUUCAGCAGAGCAAAUGGAUAGAUCAACAGCGCUGGGUGAUUCUGUAGGCGCUGUACGGCGAGUUGGAGAGCCAGUAUUCAGGACACAAAGAUUGUGAUCAUCUAAGAUUUUUAAAACACGAUGUCCAUUAUAAUUGGAUACUGAACUGCCCCAAAACUGAUGGUGUGAAUUGAAAUCUCCUAGAAUCAACAAGGGCCUAGGUAGAGAGGAAAUUAUUUGUUCUAAUUCAUUAAAAAUAGAAGAUGAUUGAUGAGGAAUAUAUACAGAGAGGAUGCAGAUGUUAUUUACAAUGGCAGCAAUAAUUGAAAAAUCAUCACUAUGAGAUGGGAGAUGAAGAGAUGAAAAUGAUUCAGAAUUCCUGACGAGUAAAGCUACUCCACCCCACCCGUCAGGACGGUCCUCUCUGAGGCAUGAAUAGCCAGUAGCUCUUAGAAGAGCUCCAGGCUUGAGCCAUGUCUCAGAUAGGGCAAAAACACAAGGUUUAAAUUUAUUUAGUAAAUGAAUGAAAUCAUGUUUUUUAUUGAUUAUGCUUCUGCAAUUCCAUUGUAUUAUAUUGUCCAUUGUUUUUAAUUGCAAAUGUAAGAGAGUCAAUCAUAGGGGCAACGUGGGACGGUAAAGUAAGGUUUGGCUUGGACAAAAGAGUUCUUAAGGCCUCAAUAGACUCAGCGAUUACUAGUCGUUCUUCCUUUUCUGUUUCCUGACGUAGAGCACAACCGUUUGCAGGAGAAGGGAUGGAGUAUUCACUUAUUAUGGCCCGAUGUGCAGCCACAUCAUAGCCAUGGGUAGUCUUUUUAACAGAAGGACGAGGUUUCAACAAAAUAGUUUUUCUGCUGCUAUGGCUAGGAGGGCGCAUAUUCGAACUAGGGUUUGUAACUGAAUUUUGAGCACUAUUAUGUGGUAAAUUUGAUUGUAUAUGUGGUUGUGACUUAACCAUAUCAGCAAACGAUUUCGAUAUAGCUGGGUGCAGUUUAACGGCUUCUCCAUAGGAGAUGCAGUUAUUUGCCAUACUGACUUUAAUUUCUUUUUGCCUUACAUGUUCUGGGCAUGACCUGUUUGUGGCAAAGUGAAAGCCAUUGCAUAAACAGCAAAUGGCAUCCUCCUCCUCCACUGCACAGGUAUUUCCAGGAUGCAUUUCCCCGCACUUGAAACAUUUAGGCUUCGAACGACAGUUAUUUUUGGUAUGUCCAAAUUUACAGCAUAAAAAGCAUUGAAUGGUAGGAAAAAUGUACAAUUCAACGGCAAGAGAGUUGUAGCAUGAAAAGACUCGUUUCGGUAAUACUUGACCGUCAAAUGUCAAUACAACUGUCUCUGAGGGUUGCCAGGUAACAGAACCGUUAACCACAACUCUGUGGUUCAAACGUCGUACUUUUAAUACUUUUCCACACCCCAUGGGCACGGAAAUGUUGGAAACUAUUUCCUCCUCCGACCACUGUGCUGGAAUACCUCGAACCAAGCCCAUACGGGUCACAGAAAACGACGGAAUGUAUGCGGUAAGAUUUUCUGAUUCAAGACACGUAUCAGUAACAAAUAAGUUUGCGUCAACGUAAUUUGAAAACGACAUCGCUAUACGUGUCCUACCAAUGCGCUUAACACUUCCAUUUAUAAUGUUUCUGAAGCCUUUUUUUAGUAAAAAUUUCCCAAAGGACACCGGGUGCAGAGAUGAUUUUGCAUCUGUUUGUUUCAUUUGUACGUGCACCGUGAAGGGAGCAACAUCGGAAGAUGAAAAUAAAUUCCUGCCAACCUUGGUAUUAGAAGAGUCAUUUUUUGUAUUUAAGUUAUCCGAAGAGUUUUUGGUAACCUGAAUGUUAGAGUUUGAAGGAGCUUGGGUUUCUUGUAUGAUGUUCUGACAAUCGCACGAAUAGUCCCCGCCAUUAUUUUUCCUUCUUUUUUUAUUACAUGUUUUGCAUCUUUUGUGA